UUUUGGGUUUUGGCAUAACUGAUGGAACCCAUGCGAGAAAAGCCUGAAAAUAAUCAAUAGUAGGGAGGCGGUGGAGGAGAAGCGUAUGAUACUCCGGGAAUAGGCGGUAGUGGUCCUUCGUAACCAGGAGGUGGCGGUGGUGGGCUAUGGUGAAUCACCGGAGGAGGUGGCGAAGAUGGCGGCGGACUGUAGUGAACGGACGGUGGUGGUGGAGGUGAGUUGUAGUAAACAGGGGAUGGCGGAGGACUGUAAUGUACGGUCGGAGGCGGAGGUGGAGGUGGUGAGUGAUCUAUGCAAGGUGGCGGAGGGGAAUAUACUGGCGUUGGUGGAGGUGGUGGGGAUGGAUAGUGAUAAACCGGUGGUGGUGGUGAGUGCGGUGGUGGAGGUAACCAGUAAUGUGGCGGCGGAG
This 409-nucleotide long non-coding RNA is filed under the name Brassica rapa (field mustard). RNAcentral describes it as "long non-coding RNA (BRAP_LNC000113)". The record is from RNAcentral. Lineage: Eukaryota; Viridiplantae; Streptophyta; Magnoliopsida; Brassicales; Brassicaceae.